This 54-nucleotide transfer RNA is filed under the name Allodiplogaster sp. MY-2022. RNAcentral's name for it is "tRNA-Gln". The record is from RNAcentral. Lineage: Eukaryota; Metazoa; Nematoda; Chromadorea; Rhabditida; Diplogasteridae.
UAUAAUAUAGUUUAGAUAGAAUAUUUGUUUUUGGUGCAAAAGGGUUUAUUAUAU